UGAUGGAACUGAGAUCGCAGAGACUGGAGUAGUUGAUGGAGCUCAUAUCACGUCAACGUCUGAGACAACUUCAGAAACGCAAACUGAAGACGCAGGAGUGCAUAGUCGCGAAAAAGAGAGUAUUGUUCAAGAAGAGCAGGCUCUCGGAAGAGGUCACCGAAUCUCUCAACCAUCUGUGAGGCUCAAGGACUACAUCGCUUACAAUUCUCAGUGUCUUCUCGAUAAACAAACUCCCGCUUCACCUGCAAUUCCAUCACGGCCUUCGAACUCGGUCCAAGGUACGUCAUCCUACCCCAUCUCUUCGUAUGUUACUGAUGCACUGUUUUCAGAGAAACACCAAGUCUUUCUUGCAGCUAUCACAGUAGUA
This 367-nucleotide long non-coding RNA is filed under the name Brassica napus (rape). RNAcentral's name for it is "long non-coding RNA (BNAP_LNC009387)". The record is from RNAcentral. Lineage: Eukaryota; Viridiplantae; Streptophyta; Magnoliopsida; Brassicales; Brassicaceae.